This 428-nucleotide ribosomal RNA is filed under the name uncultured bacterium. Its description in RNAcentral is "bacterial SSU rRNA". It matches the Rfam family "Bacterial small subunit ribosomal RNA", at positions 355 to 775 of the family's 1533-position model. The record is from RNAcentral.
UGGGGAAUUUUGGACAAUGGGCGCAAGCCUGAUCCAGCCAUGCCGCGUGCGGGAAGAAGGCCUUCGGGUUGUAAACCGCUUUUGUCAGGGAAGAAACGCGCUGAGCUAAUACCUCGGCGUAAUGACGGUACCUGAAGAAUAAGCACCGGCUAACUACGUGCCAGCAGCCGCGGUAAUACGUAGGGUGCAAGCGUUAAUCGGAAUUACUGGGCGUAAAGCGUGCGCAGGCGGCUUUGCAAGACAGAUGUGAAAUCCCCGGGCUUAACCUGGGAACUGCAUUUGUGACUGCAUGGCUGGAGUGCGGCAGAGGGGGAUGGAAUUCCGCGUGUAGCAGUGAAAUGCGUAGAUAUGCGGAGGAACACCGAUGGCGAAGGCAAUCCCCUGGGCCUGCACUGACGCUCAUGCACGAAAGCGUGGGGAGCAAACAG